This is a long non-coding RNA of Vespula pensylvanica (western yellowjacket), 288 nucleotides long. RefSeq lists it as uncharacterized. The transcript has 3 exons. The record is from RefSeq and is a predicted model, not a curated record. NCBI's taxonomy places the organism in Eukaryota, Metazoa, Arthropoda, Insecta, Hymenoptera, Vespidae.
GACGCGAUGAUAAGUGCACACGGUGUUUCGUCGCUCCGUAUAAUUACAGAUUUCUAAGAAUUUCUACAUACAAAGCGUUUGGGUUAAGUCUGGGUUGCGUCUGGGUUGUAACUACUUCAUUCGAACUACUUCAUUUUCAACUUACUUCGAUAUCAACUUAUUUCAUUUUCAACUUCCUACAAAUCAUCCUUCUUCAAUGUGGAAUUACAUGGAGUACGAGUGUUUUGGAGCCAUCGCAGAACUUCUUAAGUAGUGAUCAUCGUUGGAUUUGUUAACAUCAAUCUUUUU